RNAcentral lists this unclassified non-coding RNA (329 nucleotides) under soil metagenome. RNAcentral's name for it is "partial contains 5.8S ribosomal RNA, internal transcribed spacer 2, and large subunit ribosomal RNA". The stretch from base 1 to 120 matches the Rfam family "5.8S ribosomal RNA", at positions 35 to 154 of the family's 154-position model. The record is from RNAcentral.
GAUGAAGAACGUAGCGAAAUGCGAUAAGUAAUGUGAAUUGCAGAAUUCAGUGAAUCAUCGAAUCUUUGAACGCACAUUGCGCCCCCUGGUAUUCCGGGGGGCAUGCCUGUCCGAGCGUCAUUACAACCCUCAAGCUCAGCUUGGUGUUGGGCCCCGCCGCCCCGGCGGGCCCUAAAGUCAGUGGCGGUGCCGUCCGGCUCCGAGCGUAGUAAUUCUUCUCGCUCUGGAGGUCCGGUCGUGUGCUCGCCAGCAACCCCCAAUUUUUUUCAGGUUGACCUCGGAUCAGGUAGGGAUACCCGCUGAACUUAAGCAUCUCAAUAAGCGGAGGA